GAUGGGUUCCCUCUCUGUGAUGAGUGUUAAGGCCCUCGGGACUUCUUUGAAGUUAACUUUUGAAGGGAAAAAUCAGUUGAUCUACCCAGAGACAUGGUUUUUUAUGUUAGUUGUGGCUAUAUGUGUCAUCAUGCAAAUGAAUUAUCUUAAUAAGGUUUCUU
RNAcentral lists this small RNA (161 nucleotides) under Vigna angularis var. angularis. Its description in RNAcentral is "Non-protein coding transcript". The record is from RNAcentral. Lineage: Eukaryota; Viridiplantae; Streptophyta; Magnoliopsida; Fabales; Fabaceae.